GACGAACGCUGGCGGCGUGCUUAACACAUGCAAGUCGAACGGAAAGGCCCUGCUUUUGUGGGGUGCUCGAGUGGCGAACGGGUGAGUAACACGUGAGUAACCUGCCCUUGACUUUGGGAUAACUUCAGGAAACUGGGGCUAAUACCGGAUAGGAGCUCCUGCUGCAUGGUGGGGGUUGGAAAGUUUCGGCGGUUGGGGAUGGACUCGCGGCUUAUCAGCUUGUUGGUGGGGUAGUGGCUUACCAAGGCUUUGACGGGUAGCCGGCCUGAGGGGGUGACCGGCAACAUGGGACCUGGGUACCGGCCCGAACUCUUACGGGAGGCAGAGGUGGGGAAAAUUGCACAAUGGGCGGAGGCCGGAUGAGGCAAGGCCGCGGGCGGGAUGACGGCCUUCGGGUUGUAAACCGCUUUCGCCUGUGAGGAGGCGGGGGUAAGGGUAAUGGGUAAGAAGCACCGGCUAACUACGUG
RNAcentral lists this ribosomal RNA (467 nucleotides) under uncultured bacterium. RNAcentral's name for it is "partial 16S ribosomal RNA". It matches the Rfam family "Bacterial small subunit ribosomal RNA", at positions 28 to 507 of the family's 1533-position model. The record is from RNAcentral.